GUAGGUGGCAAGCGUUGUCCGGAAUUAUUGGGCGUAAAGCGCGCGCAGGCGGGUUCUUUAAGUCUGAUGUGAAAGCCCACGGGCUCAACCGUGGAGGGUCAUUGGAAACUGGAGAACUUGAGUACAGAAAAGGAAAACAAAAUUCCACAUAUAGCGGUGAAAUGCGUAGAGAUGUGGAGGAACACCAGUGGCGAAGGCGGCUUUCUGGUCUGUAACUGACGCUGAGGCGCGAAAGCGUGGGGAGCAAACAGGAUUAGAUACCCUGGUAGUCCACGCCGUAAACGAUGAGUGCUAAGUGUUAGGGGGUUUCCGCCCCUUAGUGCUGCAGCUAACGCAUUAAGCACUCCGCCUGGGGAGUACGGCCGCAAGGCUG
RNAcentral lists this ribosomal RNA (373 nucleotides) under uncultured organism. RNAcentral describes it as "partial 16S ribosomal RNA". It matches the Rfam family "Bacterial small subunit ribosomal RNA", at positions 527 to 896 of the family's 1533-position model. The record is from RNAcentral.